Molecule: long non-coding RNA, 550 nt
Filed under: Lathyrus oleraceus (garden pea)
Lineage: Eukaryota; Viridiplantae; Streptophyta; Magnoliopsida; Fabales; Fabaceae
Description: Pisum sativum (pea) long non-coding RNA (PSAT_LNC009109)
Source: RNAcentral
AGAGAAGGGGUCCUUUGGGACCGCAAAGAAGCGUCUUUCUUUCCCGGCUUCUCCCGCCAGGCCAAGGCGUCAUUCAGGUCCACCAAAGGUAGAAAUCGCCGUAAAUGCAGAGGUCAGUGUGGACAAUGGUGUGGCCAGUUGAUUAAAUAAUAAUCAGAGUGAAAGGAUUGAAAUCAUUAAAGUAGGAUUGAAGAUAUAUCAGUGAAGAAAAUAAAAACAAAAGUUCAUUUACAUUGAGUGUUCUUUAAAUUUAUUUAUUUGUCCUAUUUUUAUGUGUAUCCUAACAUUUUAUGUAGGCUUUUGAUUUGGGGUGAAAAUUGUUUUACUUACCAUAUAUUCAUCUAUUUGUAUUUUUAUUUACAUUCUCUAUCAUUUACACUGAGGGGAAGAAAUUUGGUUUAUGAUGAUCUUGUGACAGAAAAUGAGUCCACUUUCUUUGUUUUAUGUUCACCAUAAACUGAAAUUUAAAGCUCCUGAUUCUUAAUGUAAUAUAAGUACAAUUUUGUUUUUUUUUUACUAAUAAUUGAUUCUGGUCCUGUUGUUUAUCUUA